UGUGGAUUAGUGUAAUAGUAACACCUUUGGCUCAUAACCAGAUAAUCUGGGUGCAAAUCCUAGGUCCACAU
This is a non-coding RNA of Ascosphaera atra, 71 nucleotides long. The record is from the annotation of a GenBank genome assembly. Lineage: Eukaryota; Fungi; Ascomycota; Eurotiomycetes; Onygenales; Ascosphaeraceae.